Molecule: ribosomal RNA, 1405 nt
Filed under: uncultured bacterium
Lineage: Bacteria
Description: 16S ribosomal RNA
Rfam family: Bacterial small subunit ribosomal RNA
Source: RNAcentral
AGAGUUUGAUCCUGGCUCAGGAUGAACGCUAGCGGCAGGCUUAACACAUGCAAGUCGAGGGGCAGCGGGGAGGAAGCUUGCUUUCUCCGCCGGCGACCGGCGCACGGGUGAGUAACACGUAUGCAACCUGCCCCUGUCAGGGGGACAACCCGCCGAAAGGCGGGCUAAACCCGCGUACAUGCCACCGGGGCAUCCCGGAGGCAGGAAAGGCUUCGGCCGGACAGGGAUGGGCAUGCGGCGCAUUAGGCAGUAGGCGGGGUAACGGCCCACCUAACCGACGAUGCGUAGGGGUUCUGAGAGGAAGGUCCCCCACACUGGUACUGAGACACGGACCAGACUCCUACGGGAGGCAGCAGUGAGGAAUAUUGGUCAAUGGUCGGGAGACUGAACCAGCCAAGCCGCGUGAGGGAGGAAGGUACAGAGUAUCGUAAACCUCUUUUGUCAGGGAACAAAGGCGGGGACGUGUCCCCGGAUGAGUGUACCUGAAGAAAAAGCAUCGGCUAACUCCGUGCCAGCAGCCGCGGUAAUACGGAGGAUGCGAGCAUUAUCCGGAUUUAUUGGGUUUAAAGGGUGCGCAGGCGGUCUGUUAAGUCAGCGGUCAAAGCCCGGGGCUCAACCCCGGCCCGCCGUUGAAACUGGCAGUCUCGAGUUGGAGAGAAGUAUGCGGAAUGCGCGGUGUAGCGGUGAAAUGCAUAGAUAUCGCGCAGAGCUCCGAUUGCGAAGGCAGCAUGCCGGCUCCACACUGACGCUGAGGCACGAAAGCGUGGGUAUCGAACAGGAUUAGAUACCCUGGUAGUCCACGCAGUAAACGAUGAAUGCUGGCUGUCAGGGGGGAUUGACCCCUGGGUGCGGAAGUGAAAGCGAUAAGACAUUCCUCCUGGGGAGUUCGCCGGCAACGGUGAAACUCAAAGGAAUUGACGGGGGCCCGCACAAGCGGAGGGACAUGUGGUUUAAUUUUGAUGAUACGCGAGGAACCUUACCCGGGGCUCAAACGGGGAGUGACUCAGGCAGAGACGCCUGUUUCCCACGGGACACUCCCCGAGGUGCUGCAUGGUUGUCGUCAGCUCGUGCCGUGAGGUGUCGGCUUAAGUGCCAUAACGAGCGCAACCCCCGCGUGCAGUUGCUAACAGAUAACGCUGAGGACUCUGCACGGACUGCCGGCGCAAGCCGCGAGGAAGGCGGGGAUGACGUCAAAUCAGCACGGCCCUUACGUCCGGGGCGACACACGUGUUACAAUGGGUGGUACAGCGGGAAGCCAGGCGGCGACGCCGAGCGGAACCCGAAAUCCACUCUCAGUUCGGAUCGGAGUCUGCAACCCGACUCCGUGAAGCUGGAUUCGCUAGUAAUCGCGCAUCAGCCAUGGCGCGGUGAAUACGUUCCCGGGCCUUGCACUCACCGCCCGUCA